RNAcentral lists this ribosomal RNA (515 nucleotides) under Acrobeloides nanus. Its description in RNAcentral is "partial large subunit ribosomal RNA". It matches the Rfam family "Eukaryotic large subunit ribosomal RNA", at positions 655 to 1146 of the family's 3401-position model. Lineage: Eukaryota; Metazoa; Nematoda; Chromadorea; Rhabditida; Cephalobidae. The record is from RNAcentral.
UGAAACACGGACCAAGGAGUCUAGGUAUGCGCGAGUCAUUGGGUGGAAAACCCAUAGGCGAAAUGAAAGUGAAGGUCUCUUCAUGAGGCUGAUAUGCGAUCCGUUGCACUACGGUGUACGCGGAGCAGCAUAGCCCCGUCUCGACUGCUUGCAGUGGGGCGGAGGUAGAGCGUAUACGCUGGUACCCGAAAGAUGGUGAACUAUGCCUGAGCAGGAUGAAGCCAGAGGAAACUCUGGUGGAGGUCCGAAGCGCUUCUGACGUGCAAAUCGAUCGUCUGACUUGGGUAUAGGGGCGAAAGACUAAUCGAACCAUCUAGUAGCUGGUUCCCUCCGAAGUUUCCCCCAGGAUAGCUGGAGCCUGUGAAAUUAGUUAUACUCGGUAAAGCGAACGAUUAGAGGACUUGGGGUCAAAAGACCUUAACCUAUUCUCAAACUCUCAAUGGGUAUGAAGUCCUAGUUGCUUGAUUGAACUAGGACGUUGAAUAUGGCUCCAAGUGGGCCAUUUUUGGUAAGCA